Molecule: ribosomal RNA, 107 nt
Filed under: Bacteroidota bacterium
Lineage: Bacteria; Pseudomonadati; Bacteroidota
Source: RNAcentral
GGUGGCUGUAGCGAGGGGGAUCACCUCUUCCCAUUCCGAACAGAGAAGUUAAGCCCUUCAGCGCCGAUGGUACUACACUACAAUGUGGGAGAGUAGGUCGUCGCCAU